GCUUGCUCCGGGGAUUAGUGGCGAACGGGUGAGUAACACGUGAGUAACCUGCCCUUUGACUCUGGGAUAAGCCUGGGAAACUGGGUCUAAUACCGGAUACGACCGCUCCACGCAUGUGGUGGUGGUGGAAAGCUUUUGCGGUUUUGGAUGGACUCGCGGCCUAUCAGCUUGUUGGUGGGGUAAUGGCCUACCAAGGCGACGACGGGUAGCCGGCCUGAGAGGGUGACCGGCCACACUGGGACUGAGACACGGCCCAGACUCCUACGGGAGGCAGCAGUGGGGAAUAUUGCACAAUGGGCGAAAGCCUGAUGCAGCGACGCCGCGUGAGGGAUGACGGCCUUCGGGUUGUAAACCUCUUUCAGUAGGGAAGAAGCGAAAGUGACGGUACCUGCAGAAGAAGCGCCGGCUAAYUACGUGCCAGCAGCCGCGGUAAUACGUAGGGCGCAAGCGUUAUCCGGAAUUAUUGGGCGUAAAGAGCUCGUAGGCGGUUUGUCGCGUCUGCUGUGAAAGACCGGGGCUCAACUCCGGUUCUGCAGUGGGUACGGGCAGACUAGAGUGAUGUAGGGGAGACUGGAAUUCCUGGUGUAGCGGUGAAAUGCGCAGAUAUCAGGAGGAACACCGAUGGCGAARGCAGGUCUCUGGGCAUUAACUGACGCUGAGGAGCGAAAGCAUGGGGAGCGAACAGGAUUAGAUACCCUGGUAGUCCAUGCCGUAAACGUUGGGCACUAGGUGUGGGGGACAUUCCACGUUUUCCGCGCCGUAGCUAACGCAUUAAGUGCCCCGCCUGGGGAGUACGGCCGCAAGGCUAAAACUCAAAGGAAUUGACGGGGGCCCGCACAAGCGGCGGAGCAUGCGGAUUAAUUCGAUGCAACGCGAAGAACCUUACCAAGGCUUGACAUGAACCGGUAACGCCUGGAAACAGGUGCCCCGCUUGCGGUCGGUUUACAGGUGGUGCAUGGUUGUCGUCAGCUCGUGUCGUGAGAUGUUGGGUUAAGUCCCGCAACGAGCGCAACCCUCGUUCUAUGUUGCCAGCGCGUUAUGGCGGGGACUCAUAGGAGACUGCCGGGGUCAACUCGGAGGAAGGKGGGGACGACGUCAAAUCAUCAUGCCCCUUAUGUCUUGGGCUUCACGCAUGCUACAAUGGCCGGUACAAAGGGUUGCGAUACUGUGAGGUGGAGCUAAUCCCAAAAAGCCGGUCUCAGUUCGGAUUGGGGUCUGCAACUCGACCCCAUGAAGUCGGAGUCGCUAGUAAUCGCAGAUCAGCAA
This 1266-nucleotide ribosomal RNA is filed under the name Arthrobacter sp. RNAcentral describes it as "bacterial SSU rRNA". It matches the Rfam family "Bacterial small subunit ribosomal RNA", at positions 78 to 1355 of the family's 1533-position model. Lineage: Bacteria; Bacillati; Actinomycetota; Actinomycetes; Micrococcales; Micrococcaceae. The record is from RNAcentral.